UAGUGGUAGAGCACCUUUCUGGGCAUGCCUGAGGCCCUGGGUUUGACCCCUAGUACCCCCCACACACAAAAAAUCAGAUGUUUUCUCUAAUAAAUGUAUUUAUAAAUAUUUAUCCCAUUUAUGUAAAAUCUAAUUUAACCCCCUCCCCCCCUCCUUUUGGUACUUGGGAUUGAACUCAGGGGCACUCAACCACUGAGCCACAUCCCCAGCCCUUUUUUUUUACUUUAUUUAGAGACAGGGUCUCACUGAGUUGCUUAGGGCCUCACUAAGUUGCUGAGGCUGGCUUUGAACACACAAUCCUCUUGCCUCAGCCUUCUGAGCUGCUGGGAUUACAGGCUUGUGCCACUGCACCUGGCAAAUUUACCCAUUUUUAACAGCUCUUUUUAGAUUACCUACGAAAACCAAGAUAUCAGACAAUCAUAUUUAAUAUUUUUAUGGGGCAAUUAUUUAAUGAUACAAGAAAACAGUAUGUUAUGAAAUAAGCUGGUUAUAAGUAGUGAGUAGAGGAUGACUUCAUGUUUUUGUUGCUGUUAUUAGUUUUUAUUUCCAAAUAUUUUGAAAUUAUUGUUUUUUGUUAUUUUUAGAUAUACAUGACAGUAGAGUGAAUUUGAUAUAUCAUACAUACAUAUAGUAUAAAUUCCAUUUCCUGUGGUUGUACAUGAUGUGCAGUUACACUGGUUAUGUAUGCAUAUUUGGACAUAGGAAAGUUGUCUGAUUCAUUCUGUUGUCUUUCCCAUUCCCAUCUCCCCUCCCUUCCCUUUUCUUAUGCCUAUGAAAUUCUGUUCUCCUUACCCCUUAUUGUAUAUUAGCAUCCACAUAUUAGAGAGAACAUUUGACCUUUGUUUUUUUGAGACUGGUUCAUUUUGCUUAGCAUGAUAUUUUCCAGUUCCAUCCAUUUACUGGCAAAUGCCACUAUUUCAUUCUUCUUUAUAGCUGAGUAAUAUUCCAUUGUAUGUGAGUAUGUGUGUGUGUGUGUGUGUGUGUGUAUGUGUAUCACAUUUUCUUUAUCCAUUCUUCUGUUGAAGGGCACCUAGGUUAGUUUCGUAGCUUAGCUAUUGUGAAUUGAGCUGCUAUAAGCAUUGAUGUGGCUGUGUCACUAUAGUAUGCUGAUUUUUAAGUUCUUUUGAGUUAUUUAUAUAUCCUGGAAAUUAAUGCUCUGAGGUGGCAAAGAUUUUCUCCAAUUCUGUAGGCUCUUUCUGCACAUUCUUGAUUGUUUUCUUUGCUGUGAAGAAGCUUUUUAUUUUGAUACCAUCCCAUUUAUUGAUUCUUGAUUCUACUUCUUGCCCUUUUGGAAUCUUGUUGAGGAAUUCAGUUCCUAAGCUGACAUGGUGGUAGAGUUGGGCCUACAUUUUCUUCUAGUAGGUGUAGGGAUUUUGGUC
This 1379-nucleotide long non-coding RNA is filed under the name Marmota monax (woodchuck). The record is from RNAcentral. Lineage: Eukaryota; Metazoa; Chordata; Mammalia; Rodentia; Sciuridae.